CUCACGGGGCCAAGACGACACAAGGACAAGCAAUCCCCCGGGUAUAUAAUCGACCUCCUGUUCAUCUUCUCUCCAGUUGUCUCGCCUCCUCACCUCGAGCUCCUUCGCCUCCUUCGUCGCCGCCUCCGAAGACAUCAUGAAGUUCCUGUACAUCGUGCUCCUGUGCCUCGUGGCAGUCGCUGCGGCCAGAAACUGGUACAGCUUCGACCUGGACGACGACGACUUCUACAGACCCGCCCGCAGGUCGUGGAAGGCCGUGGGCGGGUGGAGAGCGGCUUCGGCUCCGUCCAAACGCUUCUACUUCGACAGCGACGAGGAUUCGGACAGUUACGAGGACUAGGGGCUAUGGCUUCGACUUAGAAAGUAAUUUAAUUCCUUAAGUCAAGCCUCAGUCUUUUUUCUUCUAUUUUUCUUCUUCCUCGUUUAUUACUUCUUCUCCUUUUCCUUUCUCUUCGUUUCCUCUUCAUCGCCCCCGGAGGUCAUCAGCUUCAACAUAGGUGUUGGCUUACAAAAUGAGCUCAUAUUAAUCUCUAAUAAUUAAUUAAAGUUUAUUCUUUGAGUUA
Non-coding RNA from Penaeus vannamei (Pacific white shrimp), 563 nucleotides. Lineage: Eukaryota; Metazoa; Arthropoda; Malacostraca; Decapoda; Penaeidae. The record is from RefSeq and is a predicted model, not a curated record.